This 83-nucleotide transfer RNA is filed under the name Actinomycetota bacterium. RNAcentral describes it as "tRNA-Tyr". It matches the Rfam family "tRNA". From Rfam's summary of the family: Transfer RNA (tRNA) molecules are approximately 80 nucleotides in length. Their secondary structure includes four short double-helical elements and three loops (D, anti-codon, and T loops). Further hydrogen bonds mediate the characteristic L-shaped molecular structure. tRNAs have two regions of fundamental functional importance: the anti-codon, which is responsible for specific mRNA codon recognition, and the 3' end, to which the tRNAs corresponding amino acid is attached (by aminoacyl-tRNA synthetases). tRNAs cope with the degeneracy of the genetic code in two manners: having more than one tRNA (with a specific anti-codon) for a particular amino acid; and 'wobble' base-pairing, i.e. permitting non-standard base-pairing at the 3rd anti-codon position. RNAcentral also lists the same sequence under 1 other name. The record is from RNAcentral. Lineage: Bacteria; Bacillati; Actinomycetota.
GGGUCGGUACCCGAGUGGCCAAAGGGGAUGGGCUGUAAACCCAUUGCGUUACCGCUACGUUGGUUCGAAUCCAACCCGGCCCA